GGCCGACUAGCUCAGUUGGUUAGAGCGUGGUACUAAUACUCGUGAGUGUUAUGCCAAGGUCGUCAGUUCGAUCCUGGCGUUGGCCA
Molecule: transfer RNA, 86 nt
Filed under: Obba rivulosa
Lineage: Eukaryota; Fungi; Basidiomycota; Agaricomycetes; Polyporales; Gelatoporiaceae
Rfam family: tRNA
About the family: Transfer RNA (tRNA) molecules are approximately 80 nucleotides in length. Their secondary structure includes four short double-helical elements and three loops (D, anti-codon, and T loops).
Source: Rfam by way of RNAcentral